RNAcentral lists this long non-coding RNA (2170 nucleotides) under Homo sapiens (human). RNAcentral describes it as "non-protein coding lnc-C6orf120-1:5". The record is from RNAcentral. Lineage: Eukaryota; Metazoa; Chordata; Mammalia; Primates; Hominidae.
GGGGCUGAACCGGCUGAGCUUCCCAGGGACGCCCCGACCCAAGCCCUGCAGUCCGCGCGCGUCAGGGGUGUGCGCUGGAGGCCGGAAAGUCGAAUAUCACUUCCCAUCCUGCAUUUGAUGUGCUUUGGGGUUGAAAAAGCCCUUAUGUGGUAAAAAAAAAAAAAAAAAAAAAGUCAGAAAAGUGGCAAAAGUCUUCAACGGCCUGAAAAAGGCCGAGACAGGAACUGAGAAGCUGGCAGUAGGUCCUGCUACUGCUGCAGGGGCGGCGGGCGCCCUGGGUGGGCCACGAGGCAGGGACAGCCGAGGCUCCGCGCUCACCCCACCCGCAAGGGGCCAAGCGCAGACUCAGGGGAGCCAGAGGGGCCGGACCGCUGAGCAAGGGCUGGGGAAGGGAAUGACGGAAGGAGCCCUCUGCCCCCAUGUAGCCUAUAGCUGGGACACGCAGCAGCCAGUGAGUUGGUCACGGUAUGAAGGCUUCUCUCCUCCCGGCAAUCACAGAUCCCACGCUUGGAUACUUGGGAGUGAAGAUGUGUUAUUUCACCCACCGACUCGUUCCACACGACCAAGGCCUGUGCCUGCCCUGAGGGCGAGUUGGUUGAGCCUUGUACAGACAACUCUCAGAGCGUGGGCCUGGGCCGAACCUUUCCCUGUGAGCAGCAGCAUCAGCGUCUAGAACGACGGCCCUCCCGGUCCACGGUGGAAGGUGCGGAGCUCCCGUGGUGUGCUGGCAGCGAUUCGCAGAAGGGAGAUGGAGGGCCACAGGGCAGGUGCUCGCACGGAGUCAUCGAGGUCCAGGGACACCUUCCUCCCAGGUGAGCUCACAAAGGCACCACACAUUAAUCCUGGGAGACAACCAUUCUGAUGUGGCUAAGGCCAUCGACAGGGAACAUGAUUGUCAGGAAACCUCAACUUUUCGAUAAAUGACAGCAAAACCUGAAUGCAGGAGAAAUGUAUCUCAUUUUAAUGCCUGACUUCUAAGCAUCCUUAUUCAACAUAUUAUAUGUAUUUUUUGUUUCAUGAGUAAAAUGUACAUUGAGCUUCCUCCAGUAGCUGUCCAUAGACCAGCCACUAUCACUGCCAUCAUUAUUUUGUUUCUAAACUUUUCUUUUUACACAUGUAGGUCUAGCUUUUUCCUCCAUAUUGAUGAACUAAAACUCACUCAUUUCACAACUCAAAGCCAGGGCCUUCAGUUCACAGCCCGUUGCCUCAGACGGCCUUUCCUAUAUCUUAUUGCUUCACUGUCUGACUCACUCCAGCGUGUUUCAGCCAAGUAUACUUGUUUUUAUUCAUCUUGCUCUCUUUUCCUCCCUCCCCCAACUCCCCCUCUUUCCCUCUGUCUCUUUGUCUCUUUCUCUCUCCCCCAUCCCUCCCUCUCUUCCCCUUUCUCUCUGGAUGCCCUCUCUCCCUCUCUCCCUCCCUCUCUUCCCCUUUCUCUCUGGAUGCCCUCUCUCCCUCUCUCCCUCCCUCUCUUCCCCUUUCUCUCUGGAUGCCCUCUCUCCCUCUCUCCCUGUUUUUCUUCUCUGUGUCUGCCUGCAUAAUAUUCAGAAAUCCCAACAAGAGCAGCUGGAGCUGCUAAAGAAACCCCAGCGUUCUGUGCUGCUGCCAUUGCCUCCUCCAACUGGUGAGCCCGAUCGGCCCAUUUUUAGGCAGUGCUGUGGUUGGAAAUGGGCCCUUCCUCUGGGGUCCGCUACUUCCCUCCACCUGACUCAGAAGAAUGAGUCAAGAGGGAAGAACAGCUCGUAUUAGGGAGAGGGUCCCGUGUGCUGUUGCCUUUUUCGGAAUCAUUUCAAUCAUGUUUGCCAAAUUCCCUACGAAGUUCUGUUCCCUCGUUUGACAAUGAGCAGAGGCAGGAGAGAUGAAUUGCUAAAUGGUUGUAUCCCACACCGUGCUGGGAGGCUCAGCAGAACAGAGACCUGUGUCAAGCAGGGCUUCCUUCUCCACCAGGCCCUUCAGCCUGCAUUUUAACCUGUGACUUGCGAGGAGAUAGCCCGUGAUCACACCACAGGCCUACUUACAUGACAGGAAGCAAAAUGCCAAUUCCUUCUACCCCUUUCCCCCACCCCGGUAGAAACCCUGCUAGUUCUUUUUAAAAAAGGGAGAGAGAUCAUGUAUAGAAAACCUUUUUUACAAUUUAUUUCCUGUUGUUAAUCUUUAAAAAUGAGGUUCUAGC